Molecule: ribosomal RNA, 501 nt
Filed under: uncultured bacterium
Lineage: Bacteria
Description: partial 16S ribosomal RNA
Rfam family: Bacterial small subunit ribosomal RNA
Source: RNAcentral
AUUGAACGCUGGCGGCAGGCUUAACACAUGCAAGUCGAGCGGGGGAAGGUAGCUUGCUACCGGACCUAGCGGCGGACGGGUGAGUAAUGCUUAGGAAUCUGCCUAUUAGUGGGGGACAACAUCUCGAAAGGGAUGCUAAUACCGCAUACGUCCUACGGGAGAAAGCAGGGGAUCUUCGGACCUUGCGCUAAUAGAAGAGCCUAAGUCGGAAUAGCUAGUUGGUGGGGUAAAGGCCUACCAGGGCGACGAUCUGUAGCGGGUCUGAGAGGAUGAUCCGCCACACUGGGACUGAGACACGGCCCAGACUCCUACGGGAGGCAGCAGUGGGGAAUAUUGGACAAUGGGCGAAAGCCUGAUCCAGCCAUGCCGCGUGUGUGAAGAAGGCCUUUUGGCUGUAAAGCACUUUAAGCGAGGAGGAGGCUACUUGGAUUAAUACUCUAGGAUAGUGGACGUUACUCGCAGAAUAAGCACCGGCUAACUCUGUGCCAGCCGCCGCGGUAA